GUAGGCUCCUGUAUCCCACACAAUGUGCUCUUGGAGUAAGUGGUAUUACAUAUCUUUUAUCCUGCACAAUGCUACCACUCAAGGGAGGAUUCCAGCUCUCCUGUUUGGGGAGAUAUUUAUAUUCACCAACUGGACAUCCUACUAUUAAGAGACCCUGAGUGAGCUUGGCACUUGACCAGGCAUCUUAAUAGAGCUUUAACAAUACUGCUCUGAAGGAAGACCAAAGUUG
Molecule: non-coding RNA, 229 nt
Organism: Pelobates cultripes (western spadefoot toad)
Lineage: Eukaryota; Metazoa; Chordata; Amphibia; Anura; Pelobatidae
Source: the annotation of a GenBank genome assembly